UAGUCCACGCCCUAAACGAUGCUCACUCGGUAUUGGCGAUAUAUUGUCAGUGCCUAAGGGAAACCAUUAAGUGAGCCACCUGGGGAGUACGUUCGCAAGAAUGAAACUCAAAGGAAUUGACGGGGAUCCGCACAAGCGGUGGAGCAUGUGGUUUAAUUCGAUGAUACGCGAGGAACCUUACCUAGGCUCUAAUGCCUCUGCUACCCCUUGAAAGAGGGGGUUCCUUCGGGACAGAGUGCAAGGUGCUGCAUGGUUGUCGUCAGCUCGUGCCGUGAGGUGUUGGGUUAAGUCCCGCAACGAGCGCAACCCAUAUCCUAUGUUGCCAGCGCGUAAUGGCGGGGACUCGUAGGAGACUGCCGGGGUCAACUCGGAGGAAGGUGGGGACGACGUCAAGUCAUCAUGCCCCUUAUAUCUAGGGCUGCAAACAUGCUACAAUGGCCGGUACAAAGGGCUGCAAGACCGCGAGGUUAAGCGAAUCCCAUAAAGCCGGUCUCAGUUCGGA
RNAcentral lists this ribosomal RNA (502 nucleotides) under uncultured bacterium. Its description in RNAcentral is "bacterial SSU rRNA". It matches the Rfam family "Bacterial small subunit ribosomal RNA", at positions 791 to 1297 of the family's 1533-position model. The record is from RNAcentral.